RNAcentral lists this ribosomal RNA (2202 nucleotides) under Anaerostipes hadrus. Its description in RNAcentral is "partial 23S ribosomal RNA". It matches the Rfam family "Bacterial large subunit ribosomal RNA", at positions 1 to 2236 of the family's 2925-position model. The record is from RNAcentral. Lineage: Bacteria; Bacillati; Bacillota; Clostridia; Lachnospirales; Lachnospiraceae.
UACGGUUAAAGUAGUAAGGGCGCAGGGUGGAUGCCUUGGCACUAAGAGCCGAUGAAAGACGUGAUAAGCUGCGAAAAGCUUCGGGGAGGAGCACAUAUCCAAUGAUCCGGAGAUAUCUGAAUGGGGAAACCCGGCAGAGGAAACCUCUGUCAGCGUGCAGUGAAUACAUAGCUGUACGUGGGGAACCCGGGGAACUGAAACAUCUAAGUACCCGGAGGAAGAGAAAGAAAAUUUAUCGAUUUCCAAAGUAGCGGCGAGCGAAAUGGAAAGAGCCCAAACCGUGAUGCGUGCAUCGCGGGGUUCGGACUGCGUUGUGGCAGACGUAAGAUAGGAGAACGGACUGGGAAGUCCGGCCGGAGAGAGUGAAAGCCUCGUAUCCGAAAUCCCAAGUCGCCUGGCAGGAUCCAGAGUAGGACGAGACACGAGAAACCUUGUCUGAACGAGCGGGGACCACCCCGUAAGGCUAAAUACUUCUUAGUGACCGAUAGCGCAUAGUACUGUGAAGGAAAGGUGAAAAGUACCCCGGGAGGGGAGUGAAAGAGAACCUGAAACCCUGUGUCUACAAGCUGUGGGACCUCUUUAUAUGAGGGACUGCGUACUUUUUGUAGAACGGUCCGGCGAGUUGUGCGUACUGGCGAGGUUAAGGACUUAAGGUCUGGAGCCGAAGUGAAAGCAAGCGUUAAUAGCGCGUCAAGUCAGUGAGUGCAGACCCGAAACCGGGUGACCUAUCCAUGUCCAGGUUGAAGCUUCCGUAAGAGGAAGUGGAGGACCGAACCCACAUCCGUUGAAAAGGGUGGGGAUGAGGUGUGGAUAGCGGAGAAAUUCCAAUCGAACCCGGAGAUAGCUGGUUCUCCUCGAAAUAGCUUUAGGGCUAGCCUCAUGAGAGUCUUAUGGAGGUAGAGCACUGAAUUGCCUAGGGGGCGUCAAAGCUUACCAAAGCAUAUCAAACUCCGAAUGCCAUCAAGAUGAUUCAUGGGAGUCAGACCAUACGAGAUAAGUUGGAUGGUCAAAAGGGAAAGAGCCCAGACCUACAGCUAAGGUCCCAAAGUACGUGUUAAGUGGAAAAGGAUGUGGGGAUUCUAAGACAACUAGGACGUUGGCUUAGAAGCAGCCAUUCAUUGAAAGAGUGCGUAAUAGCUCACUAGUCGAGAGUCCCUGCGCCGAAAAUGUCCGGGGCUGAAACACGACACCGAAGCUUAGGAAUGUGUAAACAUUGGUAGAGGAGCAUUGCUGGCGGGAUGAAGCCAUACCGUAAGGAGUGGUGGACUGCCAGGAAGAGAGAAUGCCGGAAUGAGUAGCGAGAUGAAGGUGAGAAUCCUUCAGGCCGAAUAUCUAAGGUUUCCAGAGUAAAGCUGAUCUGCUCUGGGUAAGUCGGGACCUAAGGCGAGGUCGAAAGACGUAGUCGAUGGAUAACAGGUUGAAAUUCCUGUACCGCAUAUAAACAGAACUGUGGGGACACAGACAGGGAAUGGAAUCCGGGAAUGGAUAUCCCGGUGCAAGCGAGGUAGGAGUGCUGUUGGCAAAUCCGCAGCACGAUCUGAAGACGUGACGCGUACCGAACAUAAGUAGGGAAGUCCAGGCCCCUGGCUGUCAAGAAAAGCCGCUAUUGUUUUAUAUGUGCCCGUACCGCAAACCGACACAGGUGGAUGAGGAGAGAAUCCUAAGGCCGACGGGAGAAGUAUUGUUAAGGAACUCGGCAAAAUGACUCCGUAACUUCGGGAGAAGGAGUGCCAUGAGAGUGGCCGCAGAGAAAUGGCCCAAGCAACUGUUUAGCAAAAACACAGGUCUAUGCAAAACCGCAAGGUGAAGUAUAUGGGCUGACGCCUGCCCGGUGCUGGAAGGUUAAGGGGAGAGGUUAGCGCAAGCGAAGCUUUGAACUUAAGCCCCAGUAAACGGCGGCCGUAACUAUAACGGUCCUAAGGUAGCGAAAUUCCUUGUCGGGUAAGUUCCGACCCGCACGAAAGGCGUAAUGAUUUGGGCACUGUCUCAACGAUACACCCGGUGAAAUUGAAAUACCAGUGAAGAUGCUGGUUACCUGCGCCAGGACGGAAAGACCCCAUGGAGCUUUACUCCAGUUUGAUACUGGGAUUCGGCAUGGUAUGUACAGGAUAGGUGGGAGACUGAGAAGGUAUGACGUCAGUUGUACCGGAGUCGCUGUUGGGAUACCACCCUUACCAUGUUGGAUUUCUAACCUGUGGCCGU